UGCAGACAGAUUUCCCAACAAUUUCUUUGGGGUGAAACUGGAAUGAAGAUUCCCAAGAAAUGACCCACAAUGCUAGGGAAACUAAAUGUCCACUCCAAGUACUCUCUUCCCCUGGAGAAGCUUAAGGCUGAGGAGAGACCUUUAAGUGUUAUGCUGUGCUGGUCUGGGGAAGAAAAAGGUAGUAUGUAACUAUUCUUUUUACCCUUCUAAUAUAGCCUGUCUUGGUCUUGGUGGUGCAGGGCAUGCUUCAAUAUCACCCCCAUGUUCUAGGAUUUUUUUCAGCAGUGUCUGUCCAUGAAUAGUUGUUGGUUGUUCUGCCUGGGGUGGGGAGGGGUGAAGAGAGGAAUGAUUUAUAUGGUUAUCUUAGUGAUGUCACUCUGGUUUUUAGUUAGUAUUCUCACUUUUCAUGUAUGUCAACAUCUAAUCUGAUCUUGAAUAUAAUAAUAACAGUUAGGAACACAUUUGAGAAUGAUAUUAUUUUGAGUUCAUAUUGUUUUUGUAGCAAGUGACAAAAGUUAAUGGGACCUAGGCCUUAUUGAAUAUUAAAAUAAGAGGAAAAAAUCUAACUUUGUUUUGAAACAUUACAGACUUCAAGAGUAUAUAAAGAAUAGCCUUCAUGUGUGAAAAGACAUUGGCAAAGAGAUUCUUGGUCAAAUGUCAUAAUGCAUAUUUCCUUCUCUGAUUUCUCUCCUUUCCUCAUUCUCAUUUUGCAAUUUCUUUGAACAUACUCCCCUACAGCUGGCUCCAUUUCUUCCCAAACCAGUUGUACAUUUCUGAAAAGAUAGACAUCACAGCUUUUAUUUUUUGUCACCCAUCUUUGCUCAGUUAGUUAUUUACAGCCAUGCAUGGUGCAUAAUAGAUGUUGAAGAAACAUUCAUGAAAAUUAGCAAAUGCUUCUCCAUCUCCUGAAGAUUGUACCAUCAUUGAAGAAAUUCUCAGCAAAUUCUAUAUGAACCUAUGGUAUUUCAAAAUUCAUCUUUUUGUGAAAAAAUAUCCUUUUAAAACUGGUGUGUGUUGUGGGUCUUGCUCAUAGGAAACUUAUAUUAAUAAAGAUUGUGGGUAUGAUUGCAGGAAAAAGGAGUUUCUAGAAAACACAUCCACAAAGCAGGGGGUUGCCAAGUAAACAACCCAGCAAAACAUCCUGCCACACUCAAAAACAGAUGGAGUUGCCACCCUGUCACUUUGACACCACAAUAACAAGGCAUUAUACCCCCUUAGCUAUAUCCUAUGAAUGUUAGUCUGAGAAUGGAUUUGAUGAAUGCUCUAUUUGAGCUAACAAUUAGAUUUUCUAUAUUUACCCCUUUUUAUCCCAGAUCUGUUUUCAUUGGUCUCUAUCUUUCCCUAACUAUUCUCUAUACUUUUGAAAUCUUUGCUUCUAUCUACUAGCCUCAUGAUUGAUUCAUUUGAUCUGGCUCUGUUAGUGCAUGCUAUCAUAAACUGCCAUUUUUUUUGAGUGCUCAUAUUUGUGUCUCUGUCUCUCAUGCUAAACAAAUCAUCUAAAAAACUAUUCUUUUUUUAAAGUAAAAUAUGUAAGAUGCAUGUAGAAUUUGGACUUGAGAUUUUCUUGAUUUGGUAGUAUUUUUAAAGUUGGCAAAUUUUAUGUUACAAUCAAUUGUUCUGACUUAUCUUGAAAAAUUGUAAAUUUUGGUAGUGUGGGGUUAUCAUUUUUGUAAGGGAGCAAUUGGCUGGAAAUGAGUAACCAUUGCCUCCUUUGAUUUGGGUACACUUUUCAGUAUGUCUCAUUCCCCACUAUUCCACCAUGUAUUACCCUCAGCUUACCUAACUUAUUUAAAUGUAAGAGCCCUAAAUUAGACAAAGCUACCAAUUAAGGCAGCUACUACAGGAAGGUCCAGUAUUGUUUAAGAUAUAUCCGUUCAACAUAUACUGCAAAAGGAGGAAAAAAGAAAUAUUAAAUAUCAAGUAUGUGCCAAGUUAUCCCUGUUAUCAAACAGCUCACAUCUAAAGGGAGAGAUAGCCAAGGAAACAAACAGCCCAAGUGUAAUAAGAUGUACACUAAGAUCCGGGUAUGAAACAUGUUCUUGUUUUUUUUUUACUUUUGGGGCCUGCACUGGUGGCAUAUGGAGGUUCCCAGGCUAGGUGUCAAAUCAGAGCUGCAGCUGCAAGCCUAUGCCACAGUGUCAGCAACACUGGAUCCCAAGAUGUGUCUGCAAACUACACCGCAACUCAUGGCAACACUGUAUCCUUAACCCACUGAUCAAGGCCAGGGAUAGAACCCACAUCCUCAUGGAUACUAGUUGGGUUUGUCACCACUGAGCCACAGUGGGAACUCCAGAAAUGUCAUCUUGUUUGCAAACAGCAUUCCUCUAGGCAGAAACUGGCAGUGAUUCCAGCAGCAGAUGUAAACUCAGGCAUGGAUUUACAAACAUCUGAAUUCAGGACAGAGCUCCAAAAACAAGAUGAGAUUGUCACUGCAAGGCAGGAAUGAGGAUUACUUACAUUUUCCAUACCUAAAUUUUCUCAUCUGUAAAUAGGGAUAAUAUUGGCCUAAAAUCCUCUCAUUAAGUUGCUAUAAAAAAUCAAAGGAGUUGAUGUAUUAGAGAAUGUUUACAUAGAUUAAAUGGAUUAUAAAUACUAGUUAUUAAAUUACUAGUACUAGUUAUAUUUAUAUUACAUAGUAAUUUUAAGAUGGGGCUCUAAUGUAGGAACUUGAUUAUAGUGGCAGUGGUGAAAUGAGGGUGUGUGGGGAUAAGAGACCAACACUUGGUUAUAGGGUACAUUUGCAUAUUUCUGAAAAUGACUGUAUCCUGACAAAAGAGACUAUAUAGACCCUGUAGCAAUAAAGAGCUCCUGCCCCAGCACUCCUAUUACCCUGAGAGUACCCUUUGCAUUUUUGCACGUCUGUCUUCUUUAAAAGCCUGAUGGCACUUUUUUUUUUUUCAAUGUUGCCUAGCACCUGGUACAAGCUUGACUCUUAGUAAAUCACCAAUAAAUGGUCAUUGAGAAAAGUAUAUGAACAAUUGUGGAAACUUGAAACUAGAUUAAUAUCAGAAUCUUGAGAAUGGCAGGGCUAUGCAUAGAGAAGAGGAUAAAGGGGGCCCCAGCUGGGGGACUCUACAGUUCUAUGGGCAAAGAAUACAUGGUACAAUUCCUGAGUACUCACAACUUUUGGGCAAUUGUGUAUAUUGUCCAGCAAUUAGAAAAAUCAACCAUGUAUUUCAUACUACCCAAGGUAUUCCUUAGGCUGCCAAUCUUUCUUCCCAAAUUAGAGUCAAUUCAGGAAGUGCCUGAAUUAAAUAGGAAUAAAUUUGUUUGGCAAGGAAGAAGCAAACUACUUACAGAAACAAAUAGAGCAGCAAAUUUUUUCUCUUCUUUCUUGUCCUGUUGUUAACUGGCAGAGAGAAGAGGCAGGACCAUCAUGUGGCCAAGAGAGACAGAGUAAGGCCUUUUGGACAAACAAAUCUUGCCCGCCUGGGGAACUGAACCACUGCUGUUGAAAGGCCAAUUUUUUUUCAAGAUAAAAUGAUUUUGCCCAAUAUUGUUGCAACUCUUGUCCAGUGUACACUGCCCUAUGGCAUGGACUCCUCUCCCCUUUUUUGAUGCUGCCAACUUACCCUCUGGAGCCAAUAGCCUGUGUACCAGACAUGGCUUUAAGGACCAAGAAAUCUCAAAAGCUGUGGGCAUGGUCCCUGAGCACAGUCUCUUAGCUUGUUUCCCUCGAAAGCCUUAUGUACAUAAUUAGAUUAGUUACUGCCAGUGCCCAAAUCUCUACAACUUUCUUUCCUCAAACUCCCUCUGCUAUAAAAGAAAAGGAAAUGUGGAAAGAAUUUCCUAAUGAAGAAACUUUCCAAGAAGAAAAACUGUUUUCUGCUUUUUAUAUUCUCUUCAUCUUGAGUAACCUCUGUCACCUUCCCCUUUCUACAAGAUUAGGGCCAACUUGUGUGCAAGUGAGAUGAACAGCUGUAUGAUUAUGAGGAUUUGAUGGCACUUGAAAUUUUACCUAAGACUCCUUCCCUCUUUGCUCAAACUGUGUGUUAUAAGGCUUUGGCUCUCAAAUUUAGCAUCCAUUAGAAUUACAUGGGGGGCUUGUUAAAACCCAGAUUACUGGCUCCACAAAGUGCCUCCACAUCUGGAGUUUUCCAAUUCUGAGAUGCAAUCUAAUAAUUUUUCAUUUUCUAAUAAGUUGCCAGGUGAUACUGAUAUAAUUGAUAUAGGAACCACAUGUUGAGAACCACUGUCAUAAUGUAGAAACUCAAUCUAAAAACUUCAUCACUAGGCACUGUAGAAAAUAUUUGCCAUGUAAAACAGCAUAAAUAUUUCAAAUGACAUCUUCUGGAAGCAAAGUACAUUACGUGAAUAAUAUUCAGCUGGUUACUGAUCAGUGCAUAUACGUGAAGAAACUAUCCAAAGCUAGAAAAAGAACAACUUAAAAGGAUGAGAGGCAGCUGCUCUUGGUCUUCACUCAGGGCCAUAAAUAAUGCCUAUUUCUAAGGUUGAAAACUGAUAAUUCAUGGGGCAUAAAGUAAACUACAUAAGAGUCUUGCUUCAGUAUUGGUGAAUAACAAUCCCCAAGAAGAGCAUAGCCUCAGACCCACCUAACAAAUUUUAAAAGUGAGAACUAAAAGGACUAAAGUGUUUUCAAGUAACAACUGUAAACCUAGGGAAAAAAUUAUAAAUGUUUAAAAGAGUUUUUUAAAAAUAUGACAUCCAAUAAGGUUAAUUCACUGUGUGACAUCCAAUAAAAAUUUAUCAGGAUCGUAAAGAAACAAGAAAAUAUGACCUAUAAUAAGAAAAAUCAAUGAAUUAAAACCAUCCCAGGAUUGACAUGGAUAUUAGAAUUGACAGACAAGGACAUUAGAGCAGUUAUUUUAAUGGUACUCCACAUGGAAACUUUUUUAGACAUGGAAAAUUUUUUUAAUAGUCAUUUUAGAGGUAAAAAAAUAAUGGGAGAUAAACUGCUGGUGGGAGAUAAAAAACUGCUAGGUGGAGUUAAUGGCAGAUUGGAUAUCAUGGAAGAAAAGAUUAGUGAACAUGAAGAUGGAGCAAUAGAAACCCACAAAACAGAAUGAAAAUAAUUUUUUUAAUGCACAGAAAAUCAGCAAACUAUUGGACUUCAGGUAGACAAAUAUAUGCAUAAUUGAAGUCUUCAAAGGAAAGAAGAGCAUAGGCACCUAAAGAAAUUUGAAGCAAUAAUGGAAAAUAUCCAAAUUUGAUGAAAAUAGUAUAUUCACAGAUUGAAGACACUCAAUACAUCCU
Molecule: long non-coding RNA, 5214 nt
Filed under: Sus scrofa (pig)
Lineage: Eukaryota; Metazoa; Chordata; Mammalia; Artiodactyla; Suidae
Description: lncRNA (ENSSSCG00000054793.1)
Source: RNAcentral